RNAcentral lists this long non-coding RNA (378 nucleotides) under Sinocyclocheilus anshuiensis. RNAcentral describes it as "lncRNA (ENSSANG00000039654.1)". Lineage: Eukaryota; Metazoa; Chordata; Actinopteri; Cypriniformes; Cyprinidae. The record is from RNAcentral.
UCUUAAUGUUCCGACUAAGUUGGACCAAAAGGAGUGCAGGCUUUCAGCAGCACAUAGGAACAAAAUUAUUAGAACAUUGUAUGAAAACAUGUCUCAUUACAAGACGUCUUCAACUAAUGAAGAGUAUGUUCAAAUGGCUAAGGGCCUGAUUCUGAGGUACCCCUUUUUAAAAGACAUGGAUAUCACAAAUGGUGCAUGUCUCUGAAACGCAAGUUUAAAUGUGAGGAUGUUGAAGAAGGAAAAAGACUACAAGAUUACCUGCCUUUGGAAAUUGAUGUUGUUGGAGAGAAUGUUACAUCAAUAAUGGGACAGGUAAAGUCCUGCAAGACCAGUACAGAAGGACACAGCCAGAUACUCGCUUUGUUGAAGAGUGAAUAA